UAAGUAGAGAGAGAUGGACAGCGAGUGAUAAUAAGUGUGCCUCUAAACCCACAUAGACCAGGAAAAUCAGGAAUAAUUCUGUUUGGGCCAAAAAAGUAAACAGCUAUGAGAGCAGGAUGAGGAUCAGAUUCAUUUUCAGUUGAAAUAAUAUAAUUCCAAGUUUUUUAAUUUAUCUUUUCAGGUUUCAUCGUCCAUAACAGUUUGACCACAUCCCAUAUUUCAUGUAACAGUUUUCUUUUGGGAAAUCAUUGCAUCCUGAAGACCUGAGAUUGCACUGGAACUUAAGUAUGAGUGUGUGCUACAGUUUACCCUCACGUUAAUGAAGAAAGUGGCCCUCGUCUUUAUCAAUGGACAAAUGAUUUGUCUAGGAGGAGAACUCACGUGAAGCAUUUGUCCGUGUUCAGACAGACCACAGUCUGUGGUUACCCCACACAGACAAGUUGGUGGACUUCUUCAUCAGAGCUCCACAAGUCAGGAAGUGCUGAAGACAAUCGCUUGAGAGCCUGGCUACCAGGAACUCAUCAGAUUUCAUAGGGUUGUGACUGAGGGUAACUGCGAGGGAGGGGUUGUGUGAGAAGGACUGAGAGCUGGGGGAAGAGAGUCUUCACUUGUCAGUCCACAGAGAAAAGUGGAAUGGAUGGAACUGCCUAAUGAUGCACAGUGGGAAGAAUUAUUUAAAGGAAAAAAAAAAAGAGACUCUUGCAUUGCUUUGAGGAAGAACUCCCAGAUGAUCAGUAUGUCUUCAGCCAGUGGUCCUGUAAAAGUGAAGGAAAAUCCUUGGAGUGUCUGCAGCCUGCUUUUGUUCAGUGUGAAGAAUGCUUCUUAGAUUUGUAAUUUUUUAUACUAUCUUGAAAUAGUAUAUGUGAAUACAGUACUAUUAAAAUUAAGUGGUAUGGAGUGUGAAAGGCAAUACAUGAUUUUUCUAAGUUGGCCCAAAGGCCCAUUAAAAAGCCCAUGGCAUUGUUUACACUAAGAAAUUUUCUGUCUUAUAUUAGCACUUAUUUAUCCUUUGAUUAAUGUACACAACAUUUGGGGGGUGGGUCUGGAAUUCACAUAUGCAUACUUUUAAUGCAGUAUUACAGUAUAUUUGCUAUUUAUCCUUUCUAAUGUGUGUACAUAUUACAAUUUAUUUUUGUCUUUUAUGUGCCCUGUUCAGUUUUUAAUUAUGAAGUGUAAGUAUUUCCUUUUCUGGCAAUAAAAGAUCUGUGUAGAUGUGAUUUUUACCUCA
Molecule: long non-coding RNA, 1228 nt
Filed under: Manacus vitellinus (golden-collared manakin)
Lineage: Eukaryota; Metazoa; Chordata; Aves; Passeriformes; Pipridae
Description: lncRNA (ENSMVIG00005006613.1)
Source: RNAcentral